Molecule: ribosomal RNA, 801 nt
Filed under: uncultured bacterium
Lineage: Bacteria
Description: bacterial SSU rRNA
Rfam family: Bacterial small subunit ribosomal RNA
Source: RNAcentral
CGAACGUGAAGAGAGUUUUCGGAUUCUCUGAAAGUGGCGAACGGGUGAGUAACACGUAGAUAACCUGCCCUGGAGUGGGGGAUAACCAUUGGAAACGAUGGCUAAUACCGCAUGAAUCUGCGCUUGCGGGAGUGAGCGCAGAGAAAACUCUGGUGCUACAGGAGGGGUCUGCGUCCGAUUAGCUAGUUGGCGGGGUAAAGGCCCACCAAGGCGACGAUCGGUAGCUGGUCUGAGAGGACGAUCAGCCACACGGGAACUGAGACACGGUCCCGACUCCUACGGGGGGCAGCAGUGAGGAAUAUUGGGCAAUGGGCGCAAGCCUGACCCAGCAACGCCGCGUGGAGGAAGACGGCCUUUGGGUUGUAAACUCCUUUUGUCGGGGAAGAGGAAGGACGGUACUCGGCGAAUAAGUCACGGCUAACUACGUGCCAGCAGCCGCGGUAAUACGUAGGUGACAAGCGUUAUCCGGAUUUACUGGGCGUAAAGCGCACGCAGGCGGCUGAUUAAGUCUGACGUGAAAUCUCCUGGCUUAACUGGGAGGGGUCGUUGGAAACUGGUUGGCUUGAGGCAGUGAGAGGGGUGUGGAAUUCCCGGUGUAGUGGUGGAAUGCGUAGAUAUCGGGAGGAACACCAGUGGCGAAAGCGGCACCCUGGCACUGGCCUGACGCUCAUGUGCGAAAGCGUGGGGAGCAAACGGGAUUAGAUACCCCGGUAGUCCACGCCGUAAACGAUGAGUACUAGGUGUGGGUGGAGUCAAAUCUAUCCGUGCCGAAGCAAACGCGCUAAGUACUCCGCCUGGGGA